Molecule: ribosomal RNA, 498 nt
Filed under: uncultured bacterium
Lineage: Bacteria
Description: partial 16S ribosomal RNA
Rfam family: Bacterial small subunit ribosomal RNA
Source: RNAcentral
GACGAACGCUGGCGGCGUGCCUAAUACAUGCAAGUCGAGCGAAGUUUUUCUGGUGCUUGCACUAGAAAAACUUAGCGGCGAACGGGUGAGUAACACGUAAAGAACCUGCCUCAUAGACUGGGACAACUAUUGGAAACGAUAGCUAAUACCGGAUAACAGUAUUUCUCGCAUGAGAGAUAUUUAAAAGUUGGUUAUGCUAACACUAUGAGAUGGCUUUGCGGUGCAUUAGCUAGUUGGUGGGGUAAAGGCCCACCAAGGCGACGAUGCAUAGCCGACCUGAGGGGGGGAAGGGCCAAAAUGGGAAUGAGACACGGCCCAGACUCCAACGGGAGGAAGAAGGAGGGAAUUUUCCGAAAGGGGCGAAAGCCGGAGGGAGAAAGGCCGGGGGGGGGAAAAAGGAUUUGGGUUGGAAAAGUCUUGUUGUUAGGGAAAAAAGGAAAUGGAGUAACUAUAAAUGUAAGGGACGGUACCAAACCAAAAAGCAACGGCAAAAUAAGG